Molecule: long non-coding RNA, 1350 nt
Organism: Numida meleagris (helmeted guineafowl)
Lineage: Eukaryota; Metazoa; Chordata; Aves; Galliformes; Numididae
Exons: 2
Source: RefSeq, a predicted model, not a curated record
GCCCAGAUACCAAUCUUGGCAAAAACAAAAGCAUCAAACUGGGUAAGAGGGGAAAAAAAUCCAACACAAGAAGUGUGUGGUCUUUUCUAAUGGGAUGAUCUUCGGCACGUUCCCCAGUGCAGAGCAGUGUGGUAAAAGUGAUGGCCCACAGACAUACAGCAGUGUUUGUUUAUGGGUAUCUGGCUCCCUUAAGGAGGGGCAUGUUCCCUCCCACUUUCCCCUUAUGUCUUUCUUCCCUUUUUAAUUUCCCAUCGAGGAAGGUCUCUCUUAUAGUUGUCUUUCUGGUGUCUGCAGUUAUGCCCUUAAACAAAUAUGUUCCAUGAGACUUGAAAGGCAAUUUUUGGAAUAUAAACCUGUUUGGGACUCUGGAGCAAUUCCAGUGAGUUAAGAUGAAAUGCUCUGCAUUCGGCUCGGGGUCUUCAAAUAACUCAUUGUACUCCUUGCCAAGCAGGGGCUAUUUCAUACGCGCUGUGCCAGGCUGCAUUCCCAGCUGGCUGCCUAACUCAUGUGCCCACCUGGUUUGGCUGCAGGGUCCCCCACGGCGCCGUGCCCACCUGGCUGCCGCGUGCCCCCGCGGGCGCUGCUUCAUGCAUGGGUGCGCGAUAGCUGCUGUCAGGGAAAGCACUUCAGGCCCUCUCGGGAUGAAAGGUGCUAAAUGCAUGCGAGUAAUUUAUUGCUUCGUUCCGAGUCUGCAGUAUGGGCUGAGCUGGGACACGCACGACCUGUUCUGACUUUUCCGAAGCAGGUUUGAGUAUGCGCAACCCCUUCUGCCAGAGCUGCCGCACUGCCUUUUGUUUCUAAAUAUACCUCUUGCACAGCUGAUAAGGGAGACAGGAAGCGAUAGAUCUUGGAGCUUUCAGGAGACAGCCUCUCCCUGAAGAUGUACUUCAGUGAACUGAGCGUACAGCAAACAAUAUGCGAGCGGGCGAGGUUUCAAGCUGGGGCACGCCAGCGUGAGCGCUACCAUCAAAGAGAUUGUCGCUUCCUUCGCAUAAUGCUUUCAGGAAUGACUUCCCAGACUCCAGGACCAUGUGCAGAGUAACAAAGCAGACAGAUCUGGUGGCGAGAUGUACGGAAGUUUCCUGAGAUACCUCUGGAUGAUAAGAAGAACAUGGGUGAAGCGGUACCAAUUAAUUCAUUAAUAAGACCUACAGAACAUUGAGGCUCUUGAGACCUCUUGCAGAUGUUAAAUAAACGAGCAGGGUAUUUUUGUAGUUAGGCCCUGGGCUGCUUCUGCUGAGGUGCCACAUGGGGAAGGGUUUGAAGCAGGAGCGUGUGAAUCUCGGUGUGGAAGCCAAUGGCCAUGCAGGGUCAUAGGCUGAGCUCACAGGAAAAUAUAUCUCAAAAGUA